RNAcentral lists this long non-coding RNA (247 nucleotides) under Brachypodium distachyon (stiff brome). RNAcentral's name for it is "long non-coding RNA (BDIS_LNC000652)". Lineage: Eukaryota; Viridiplantae; Streptophyta; Magnoliopsida; Poales; Poaceae. The record is from RNAcentral.
GACCGAAGAAAAGAAGUAACAUGUGAGUUCACCUUAAAGAAAGGCGGCCCGGGGAAGAUGAUGAUAACACGGGAUCGAAAUAGGAGAGAAUAAGGGUAAAAGACUGGCAGAGGUUGAAGGUGAGGCGCUUGGGUUCGGGUUUUGUACUGAUAGGAGAGAGGAGAUAGACCGGAGGAAGAAAGCCAAUGACAAUCAUUAAUGGCUACUCUUUUGUAGUGGUGGAUCUAGUUAUGUGUUUGUGCUUUGC